This 565-nucleotide long non-coding RNA is filed under the name Homo sapiens (human). RNAcentral describes it as "HSALNT0179240". The record is from RNAcentral. Lineage: Eukaryota; Metazoa; Chordata; Mammalia; Primates; Hominidae.
AAAAUAAUAAGAGGCAUGUAGAGAAGAGAAAAAGGUAUGAGGUCUGCAGUCAGAAGACAUGGGCUCAAGAUUUUCUUCUCCUUUUAAGUUCCUUCUCUACAAGACAACUAGGUGGGUGCAGUUCAAUCCAGCCCAGCUCUAAGUCAUCACUACUAAUAUCAUCCAGUGGCUUUGGCUUGUCACCUGCUUUGCCCCUGCUCUACGGAGACAUAAGACCGCUGGACUUACUGAGACACGAACAGUGCUGAAUAAACUAUGUGAGUGCCUGAGGGCGUGGCUAGUUCAUCCUGCAGACUGUGUCAGGAUGUCUAAAGGAAGCAACUUUGGAGGAAGCUAAGAUUGUGGUCCCUUUCCCUAGCAUUUAAUAAAAUGCCUGGAUGGUUACCUACCUAGCUUAACACCAGCCUAGCUCAGAAAACAAGGUAGCAGGAUGGAAGAUUCAUGUUUUGGCUUGAAAUCAAUUUGACUCUGCUUGCCUGAACUCUUAAUAAUAAAAAUAAUAUUACCCUCACUUUCAGAUAACAAAACUAAUAACAGUAAGUAACUCGCCCAAGGUCAUUCAGCU